UACGGGGGGGGCAAGCGUUGUUCGGAAUUACUGGGCGUAAAGGGCUCGUAGGUGGCCAACUAAGUCAGACGUGAAAUCCCUCGGCUUAACCGGGGAACUGCGUCUGAUACUGGAUGGCUGGAGUAUGGGAGAGGAAUGCGGAAUUCCAGGUGUAGCGGUGAAAUGCGUAGAUAUCUGGAGGAACACCGGUGGCGAAGGCGGCAUUCUGGACCAUUACUGACGCUGAGGAGCGAAAGCCAGGGGAGCAAAGCGGG
Molecule: ribosomal RNA, 254 nt
Filed under: uncultured bacterium
Lineage: Bacteria
Description: partial 16S ribosomal RNA
Rfam family: Bacterial small subunit ribosomal RNA
Source: RNAcentral